RNAcentral lists this ribosomal RNA (439 nucleotides) under uncultured bacterium. RNAcentral describes it as "partial 16S ribosomal RNA". It matches the Rfam family "Bacterial small subunit ribosomal RNA", at positions 339 to 795 of the family's 1533-position model. The record is from RNAcentral.
CUACGGGCCGCAGCAGUGGGGAAUAUUGCACAAUGGAGGAAACUCUGAUGCAGCAACGCCGCGUGGAGGAUGACACUUUUCGGAGCGUAAACUCCUUUUAUAUAGGAAGAAGAUGACGGUACUAUAUGAAUAAGCGCCGGCUAACUCCGUGCCAGCAGCCGCGGUAAUACGGAGGGCGCAAGCGUUACUCGGAAUCACUGGGCGUAAAGAGCGUGUAGGCGGAUUAAAAAGUCAGAAGUGAAAUCCUAUAGCUUAACUAUAGAACUGCUUCUGAAACUCUUAAUCUAGAAUAUGGGAGAGGUAGAUGGAAUUUCUGGUGUAGGGGUAAAAUCCGUAGAGAUCAGGAGGAAUACCGAUUGCGAAGGCGAUCCACUAGAACAUUAUUGACGCUGAGACGCGAAAGCGUGGGGAGCAAACAGGAUUAGAUACCCCCGUAGUC